Molecule: ribosomal RNA, 306 nt
Filed under: uncultured bacterium
Lineage: Bacteria
Description: partial 16S ribosomal RNA
Rfam family: Bacterial small subunit ribosomal RNA
Source: RNAcentral
GACAGCAGCCGCCACGGGAAUACGUAGGUGGCAAGCGUUGUCCGGAAUUAUUGGGCGUAAAGGGCUCGCAGGCGGUUUCUUAAGUCUGAUGUGAAAGCCCCCGGCUCAACCGGGGAGGGUCAUUGGAAACUGGGAAACUUGAGUGCAGAAGAGGAGAGUGGAGUUCCACGUGUAGCGGUGAAAUGCGUAGAGAUGUGGAGGAACACCAGUGGCGAAGGCGACUCUCUGGUCUGUAACUGACGCUGAGGAGCGAAAGCGUGGGGAGCGAACAGGAUUAGAUACCCCUGUAGUCCCUGUCUCUUAUAC